CACACAUAUAUAUAUCUGUAUAUAUAUAUAUAUAUGUGUGUGUGUGUGUGUGAGAGUGUGUGUGUAAUGGUUGUCUGCAAGAAACACCUUUAAUUAAUCACAGCCAACCCUCAAAUAAUACGCAUAGUAUAGGACCCUUACAAUGCUACACUCCCAACUCUUCUCCCCACCCACCUUUUGUUUUCUUUCCUUCCACGGAUUCUGUGACAUCUUCCUCUCCUCAUUGACUCUGCAUGAAGGGGAUUCCUGGUGGGGGAAGGGUAGCUGGUGAGAAAUGAGGUAUCAAGAAACUAGCAAAGCAUCUUCUGGCUGUCUGUGGACAGUUCUUGUGUGGUCCCCAGCCUAGUCUCAAGGGUUCUGGGCUGGUCACCCUGCAGCCUCUGUGCUGUGUCACCAGAUUCGGGCUCUGAGGGAAGGGCCCUGGGAGGCCCAACAGAGCGGGGUGCCUUGUCUAACAUCCCCCCGUUCCUCUGGCUGUGUGGCUCAGGAAUAGGCCCAGACAGUGUGUCCAGGUGGUGCCAGGUCACCUCACUGCCCCCUUUGAGAUGGGCCCAGAGGGUUUUGUGGGGUGAGCAUGAAGCUGGGCACCCAAAGCCUGGGGCCGAGUGCCCCUCCCUGUGUCCCAGAGGAGGGGCCCUGACCUGAGAAGAUCCCCAGUGCCUGGCUUAUGGGUGCCAAUGUGGGGAGGGGUGGCUCUGAGGACUGAAGCGGGUCACUGAAAGAAGACAUUGAGCUCCAUGGCUCAGGGACCUUGGCAGUAGAGGCCUGGUAAGCAGAGACUAGGACACUGGGACUUGGUCACAAAAAAUAUGAUCAGAAAGGGCAUGGCCAUCAGAGAGUUGGUCAGGCGGCCUGGUCAUUGAGGGACUGUCAGUGAGGACCUGGUCACUGGGUGCUUGGUCAAUGGGUCUUGGUCAGUGGGGACCUGGUAAGUGGAGAUCUGAUUACUGGGGGCUUGGUCAUCAAGAGCCUGGUCAGUCAGGACCUGGUCAGUGAGGACCUGGUCAGUGAAGGACUUGUGGGGGGGCAUUGGUCAGCAGCGGCCUUGUCGGGGGAGGCUUGGUCAGUGGGGGCCUAGUUAGUGGGGUCCUGGCCAGCCGGCUGCUGGGUGACCUCAUGCAGGGGUUUGUCCUUGGAGCUUGCUUGCCGCCAUCUGUAGUGGGGAUGAGUCACAUCACCCCAGAGGGCUACUGGGAGGAGGAGAUGAGCAGGUGUGUGGAAUCCGGCCCUGCCCAACAGACCUAGCACUUUACACCCUAGCUGAGUCCCCUGCUAAAGAGGGGGCCUGCUCUCUGCCCUCCACCCUCAAUUCUCUGCUCCCCGUCCACAGGACUGCCCCACCUAGGGAGGGCUGAGGUUGGGGAACACCUGUGGACACUCUGAUGCUGGCCACAGGCCCAGGGCCGGGCGUGACAGUGACAAGGACCUGAGUGCGUACAUGAAUGGGGCCACCUGGCCCAGCCACAGAAGCAACACACCAUAUGCACGUGUUCACCCACAUAUAUGUGCACGCUCACAUUUACAAACACACUGCAUGCACACAUGUUGAUGCUUCGGGGGUGGAGGACGGUGACUGUGGGCCCUGCUGACCCAGGCGGGGGCCCAUUGUGAUGGGUGCCGUGAUCCCGUAAUGUCACUGGUGCUGAGUACCCACCCGCCUACCUGGCUGCCUUCUCUGUGUCUGGAGCUCUUAGAGACAAGAUAAACAGCGAUGUCUGGUUCUGCUCAGAGGAGGCUUUCUUAAGUGAGAGGCACAGUUGGAUCAGCAGACUCAGCUGAGUGUGACCUGCUCUGUUCCCUCCCUGCUGACCUGGGACAGUCGCUACCAGGCAGUGCUGGCCUCUGGGCGGGUGCCGAGGAGGGUCAUCCCUGAGCACUCACCAGGUAGGUGCCUGUUCUGCACUGACGGUAUAGAUGUUCGUCUUGUUGGUCGUCACAGUGACGCUGGUGGGGGUGGGUGCUGUCCCCUAAUGUACCCAUUCCACAGGUGAGAUGUCUAGGGUCAGAGAGGCAGCGACUGGUCCAGAGACCCAGAUGUGACCCUGGGCCAUGCUCUUAGCCCUGCCCUGUGCUACGCUGGACUCAAGCCCUGACCUCUGUGGCCUCCCUGCCCUGGAUUCCAAAUCCAUCCGGGGUUCCAGCCCCUGAUGGGGCAGAGUCUGGCCCUGGAAGAGCCACUGGGACAGAGAUCCUAUGGGUGAGGUGGAGGGGGUGGUCCUCAGUCCAAGUCUGUGCCCUAAGCUGGGACCCCGCGGGAGGUCUCACCAACUCAGACUUCACAUGUGGUCACUGAGGGUCAUUGUGGGACCCACUGGACACAGGGGGUCCCUUGUCUGGGAGUGGGGUGAAGAGCCUUCUGCCCUUGGGCAGUUAGGUAGGGGACUUUGAGCACUGCUGCUUUGGGACCUGGGAAGUGGGGACCUGGGCAGCGGGGUCCUCGUCAUUGAGAACAUGGUCAGUGAGAGAUUUGGUCAUCAUGGGUUGGGUCAGGGGGGCCUGGUCAGCAGAGACUUGGACACUGGGGCUUAGUGAAAAUAUGAUCAGUGGGGAAAUAGUCACGGGGCCUGCUCAGUAGGGCCUGGCUAGCAGAGGCCUGGCCAGCUGGCCACUGGAUGACCUGACAGGGGGUUUGUCCUUGGAGCCUCUUUGCCUCUAUUCAUAGUGGGGAUGAGUCAUAGCAUCCCUCAGCACUCGCCAGGUGCAGGUUUUGUGCUGACCUUGUAGAUGGCCUUUUCCUUCAUCCCCACAGCAACUCCAUGGGGCGGAUCCUGUCCCCGAAUGUAGCCAUUCCACAGGUGAGAUGUCUAGAGUCAGAGAGGUGAUGACUGGCCCAGAGACCCAGAUGUGGCCUGGGCCGUGCACUCAGCCCUGCCCUGUGCAGUGCUAGACUCAAGCCCUGACCUUUGCAGCCUCCCUGCCUUAGAUCCCACAUUUCCCUGGGGUUCUGGACCCUGAUGGGGUGGAGGGGGUGAUUCUCAGUCCAAGUCUGUGCCCAAAGCUUGGUCCCCACAGGAGGAGGUCUCAUCAACUCAGACUUCAGGUGCGGUCACUGAUGGUUGCUGUGGGACCCACUGGACACAUGGAGUCCUUCGUCUGGGAGUGGGGUGGGGAGGCCUCUGCCCUCGGGCAGUUGUGGAAAAUGAAGGAGCUCUAGAGGGCUGCCUGGAGGGUGAUGAUCGUCCCUCUUGGUCAAAGGGGCUUGGGGACUGGAACCUUCUCUGUCUGAUUCUCUAGAGGUCUUGUCUUCCCUUUGUCCCAAGUAUUCCCAAGGAAGAUGGUCCCCCUGGGUGUUCUCCAGGACCAAGUCCCCAGAAUUCUCUUGUUUUUUCCUUGGUGAUCCAGGAAAACGAAGCCCCCUCCUGUAUUGACAGCUGGGAAUUGUGGAGUCCACCGUCCUCCACCUGAGACGAGCACAGGGUCUCCACGAGGACAGAGGCUGCUUUGGACUCAAUAGAAAACUGGGCAUCUUCAUGGUCCUAGAAGGAUCCCAGGAGGCUGAUCCUAUAGAGACGUCUGGUUCCUGACCCCAACUGCCUCCAGGUGCCUGGAACAGCCCAUCGUGGGCCCUUUACCCUCAGCAGGUGGACGCCGUUGGUCCUGCCAGGGCAAGAUGGAGAUGGAUGAGCACCCGGAUAUCCUGCCCACCCAGGGGCAAGGCAACAUCAUCAUUACUAAGUAUGAGCAGGGACGCUGAGCUGGGGCAGCAGUGGACACAGAGCAUGAGCGUGUUGACAUCUGGAAAUUCACCAGUCGUCUCUGGGUUGUGUGUGAGACAGAGCUGCCCGUGUCAGUGCCCUGGAGGUGAAGGGAAGAGCCUGUGCCUGCUGCGUGGGAGACUGGUCCAGGGACAGGGAAUCAGGAGUGGUUGGUGAGACAGAGGGGGUGGCCUGCGGGCCCGGGCGGUGGUAAGUGGGCCAGGGCUGUCCCUGGGAGGGGCGGCCUUUCCUGACGGACUCUGUUCCCAUGAGCAUUUGACCAAAACCCAAAUCAAGAACCACAGUCUUGGCUCAGAGGUCACUGCCUGUUUGUACCAAGUCCCCAGCUAAGGGCCAGGACCUGACCAAAACUCGGGGUGUCUGUGGCCUGAGGAUGGUGUGUCCUGGCAUGACCAGUCCAGACCACCAGCUCCAGUUAGUUCAGAGGGUCUCAGCCCCCGGGCUCUGCUCUUUCCUUGCUCCUUCAGGGCCCCAAAGCCCAGGACCCAGCAUCCAUGGGCCGCUGCCGGAGGCCUGGCAGCUCCGCUAACUCCAUCAUGGCUCAUUUGACAGCAAAGGUGUCAGGAAAUAAAAUGUACUGACAAGUGGCUGAAGAUGCUUGGAGACUGGCCAAAAUAUAAGAACAGCAAGAAGGUGACAUGGCGGUUGGGCCUGGUAGCUCAGGCCUGUAACCCCAGCACUUCGGGAGGCUGAGGUGGGCGGAUCACCUGAGGUCAGGAGU
RNAcentral lists this long non-coding RNA (4437 nucleotides) under Homo sapiens (human). RNAcentral's name for it is "HSALNT0388818". Lineage: Eukaryota; Metazoa; Chordata; Mammalia; Primates; Hominidae. The record is from RNAcentral.